This is a long non-coding RNA of Gopherus flavomarginatus (Mexican gopher tortoise), 1687 nucleotides long. RefSeq lists it as uncharacterized. The transcript has 4 exons. NCBI's taxonomy places the organism in Eukaryota, Metazoa, Chordata, Testudines, Testudinidae. The record is from RefSeq and is a predicted model, not a curated record.
UCCCAUUGGCCGGGAAUGGGGAACCGCAGCCCUCUGCCUCCCCUCCCCCAGGGGCUCCAGGGACAUGGUACCGGCUGCUUCCAGGAGCCUGCCCUGGCCCUAGUGUGCGCCGCUGCCACCCCGGAGCCGCUCCAGUGCCUACUCGUGACUCUAAGCAGUUCAAAUAACUAAGAACAAACAAUAUUUCAGACAAGAUGUAGCACCUGCAACCACUGCCUGUCAUGAACAUGAAACCCCUGGUGACCUUCCAGCCCCUCAGCUCAUCCAAUGUGGCUAUAUGCAGAAGCACUGAAGGGCUCAAAUCUGGAUGGGGAGGAACAGAGGUCGUCAGCAUGGAAUAUUUCAGUUCUUCAUGUGAGAUCAGCGACUCUAACACUGGCAUACUUGAGGUCUUUAAACCAUGAUUUGAGGACUUCAGUAACUCAGACGUAGGUUAGAGGUUUGUUACAGGAGUGGGUGGGUGAGAUUCUGUGGCCUGCAUUGUGCAGGAGGUCGGCCUAGAUGAUCAUAAUGGUUCCUUCUGACCUUAAAGUCUAUGAGUCUAUACUUGAUCACUGAAUACUGAGUACCAGUCUGGGUGGAUAGAUCACGUACCAAAUCUCUGGACACGGAGCUUAAUUCCACAAUGAGAACACUAACUGGAACAUUAAAAUCAACACCCACUCAACAGUUGUCCAGUCUGGUGUACACACCCCUCCACCCAAAAUCUGGGGAGGGAGGGAGACAUCCUCCGCCACCCUCGUGAGUUCAAUCAAAUCAUGGCCACCUUGAACAUAUCAAUUCAUGAGGAACUCCAGAAUUUUAUGAAGACAUGCCUGAAAUCUUGUAAGCCUUUCUGGGAUCAGGCUAAAGCUCUUAAAGCAUCCUCAUUCAAUCCUGAGGCACAACAGAAAUGACAAUGCUCACAUCCCACAUAAAUACCUGAUUGCUGAUCCCACAGAAGAACUUGCAGGCUUCAACCUACCCCAGAAACAAUGGUCCAUGUUGAACUGUUUUAGAACAUCACACUGCAGAUGCUUCCAUGGUUUUAUAACUUUGAAGAUAAAAGAAUGCACAAUGUGACUGUGGACACCUGUUGCAAAUGAUGGACCACCUUGCAAAUUGUGCCCACUUCUAUUGUUUCCUGGAGGCAUCUCAGAUUUUUACCAAGCCACUUCAGAACCUGUUCACUAGCUCACUCAUCAGGACUUCGUUAUCUAAACAUUGCUAAUAACCCCCUUGCCAUAUAAAAGAAGGAUAUGAGGUCACUUUGGGAUCCAGAAGGUUACCUAUAACAUGUUCAUCGUGCUGGGUCAUGAACUCGCUAACAAGUUGUGAAUUUAUUAGCUUGCUAGCACAGAAGCAUAUUUUAUAUUUUUGCCUUGUUCAAAUAAAAAAGCUCUACAGAUCUACCUAUUAUAUGUACAUAUAUGGGCAUUUUCGGUGUGCAUUCCUACUGGAUAGUGGGAAGACCAGGAUAAUUACCAUGAUUGUUUUCCUUGCUUCUUUUUUUAAAAAGUGACUCAUUCUACAUUAAGUUGUUUUUGAGGGUUUACCGUUACCUGAUUUGAGAAGCCUCGAUUAACUUCAGACUCCUCCACAGAACCUGUCUGCCUUAGUCUGUCACCCUAUAGCAGUGGUCUCCAAAGUGGGGUGCGCAAGACGAUCCAUUGGGGAGCAUGGCAGGAGGAGUGCUGCUGGACAGGGA